This 253-nucleotide ribosomal RNA is filed under the name uncultured bacterium. Its description in RNAcentral is "partial 16S ribosomal RNA". It matches the Rfam family "Bacterial small subunit ribosomal RNA", at positions 524 to 776 of the family's 1533-position model. The record is from RNAcentral.
UACGUAGGGGGCAAGCGUUGUCCGGAUUUAUUGGGCGUAAAGAGCGUGUAGGCGGCUAGGUAGGUCCGUUGUGAAAACUCGAGGCUCAACCUCGAGACGCCGGUGGAAACCAUCUAGCUAGAGUCCGGAAGAGGAGAAUGGAAUUCCCGGUGUAGCGGUGAAAUGCGCAGAUAUCGGGAAGAACACCCGUGGCGAAGGCGGUUCUCUGGGACGGUACUGACGCUGAGACGCGAAAGCGUGGGGAGCGAACAGG